CCCUCUUGGCAAAGCUGAGUAAAAGGAGGCAUAAGGAGGUUAAACAGCACGUCCAAGUUCACAGAAUUACUAAGUGCAGCUAGUAGGCAAAGCUAGGUUCAACGAUCUAAAAAGACAGGAUCAUUUUUCUAAAUUCCCUUUCUUUCCCACUCCUGAUAUGUCAUAAAGGAGAAGGCUCCUCUUGAUUUCUAAAACUAUAUUGGGAAAGUACACAGUUCUCAUCUCUUCCACCCAAAUAAGUUUAUCAGUGUUAACUACGCACUGCACUUUAAGUAGUAGUAGUGGUCGUCUCUCCGUAGCCGAGGAUGACAAUCGUCUUUGUGCGCUUUCAUCUGUGAUGUAGAUGAGUGUGCACAGAGACACUUGCGCGUGAAGGAGAUUUAAGUGGAAGAGUCGGUGCACAGAGACAGUCCCACCCUCUUGGCGUUGGAAGCCUGGGUCCAGUGGCACGAAAAGUCGUUACACCUGGAGACUUCCUCAGCUGCAUUGGAUGGCCAUGUUGUCUUUUGUGCUCCAACACGCCCUGAUCACUCCACAGUGCUUUGCUGCGUCGCCCUCUCAGCCGUUGAACCUUCUUGUUGGUUUCUUCCACCUGUUCGGCCGAAGCAGUCUUCACAUGCUGGUCUAAGGAAUAACUGCUCUUAGGAUCCUCAUUCUAUCACUACAACGGAGGCUGAGGUUAAGUUACUGGCCAAGGACAACGCCUCUAAGUGUGGGAGGCCAGAUUUGAUCUCAGGUUGUCCAGACUCAUAGACCAGCACUCAACUCACCGUGCAACCUCGCUGCCUCUCCUGGGAGAUACUCCUUCCACCUGUCAUUUUACCUGUGAACCUUUACAUUGUUCUGUGCUCCCU
RNAcentral lists this long non-coding RNA (854 nucleotides) under Monodelphis domestica (gray short-tailed opossum). Its description in RNAcentral is "lncRNA (ENSMODG00000047536.1)". The record is from RNAcentral. Lineage: Eukaryota; Metazoa; Chordata; Mammalia; Didelphimorphia; Didelphidae.